This 482-nucleotide ribosomal RNA is filed under the name uncultured bacterium. RNAcentral's name for it is "partial 16S ribosomal RNA". It matches the Rfam family "Bacterial small subunit ribosomal RNA", at positions 28 to 507 of the family's 1533-position model. The record is from RNAcentral.
GAUGAACGCUGGCGGCGUGCCUAAUACAUGCAAGUCGAACGCUUCACUUCGGUGAAGAGUGGCGAACGGGUGAGUAAUACAUAAGUAACCUGGCAUCUACAGGGGGAUAACUGAUGGAAACGUCAGCUAAGACCGCAUAGGCGUAGAGAUCGCAUGAACUCUAUAUGAAAAGUGCUACGGGACUGGUAGAUGAUGGACUUAUGGCGCAUUAGCUUGUUGGUAGGGUAACGGCCUACCAAGGCGACGAUGCGUAGCCGACCUGAGAGGGUGACCGGCCACACUGGGACUGAGACACGGCCCAGACUCCUACGGGAGGCAGCAGUAGGGAAUUUUCGGCAAUGGGGGAAACCCUGACCGAGCAACGCCGCGUGAAGGAAGAAGUAAUUCGGUAUGUAAACUUCUGUCAUAGAGGAAGAACGGUGGAUAUAGGGAAUGAUAUCCAAGUGACGGUACUCUAUAAGAAAGCCACGGCUAACUACGUG